AACGAACGCUGGCGGCAUGCCUAACACAUGCAAGUCGAACGAGACCUUCGGGUCUAGUGGCGCACGGGUGCGUAACGCGUGGGAACCUGCCCUUAGGUUCGGAAGAACUCCCCGAAAGGGGUGCUAAUACCGGAUAAUGUCUUCGGACCAAAGAUUUAUCGCCUUUGGAUGGGCCGGCGUUGGAUUAGCUAGUUGGUAGGGUAAAAGCCUACCAAGGCGACGAUCCAUAGCUGGUCUGAGAGGAUGAUCAGCCACACUGGGACUGAGACACGGCCCAGACUCCUACGGGAGGCAGCAGUGGGGAAUAUUGGACAGUGGGCGAAAGCCUGAUCCAGCAAUGCCGCGUGAGUGAUGAAGGCCUUAGGGUUGUAAAGCUCUUUUACCCGGGAUGAUAAUGACAGUACCGGGAGAAUAAGCUCCGGCUAACUCCGUG
Molecule: ribosomal RNA, 433 nt
Filed under: uncultured bacterium
Lineage: Bacteria
Description: partial 16S ribosomal RNA
Rfam family: Bacterial small subunit ribosomal RNA
Source: RNAcentral